GUCAAUGUGGAGGCUAUAUACAGGGGGUACCGGUACAGAGUCAAUGUGGAGGCUAUACACAGGGGGUACCGGUACAGAGUCAAUGUGGAGGCUAUAUACAGGGGGUACCGGUACAGAGUCAAUGUGGAGGCUAUAUACAGGGGGUACAGGUACAGAGUCAAUGUGGAGGCUAUAUACAGGGGGUACCGGUACAGAGUCAAUGUGGAGGCUAUAUACAGGGGUACCGGUACAGAGUCAAUGUGGAGGCUAUAUACAGG
Long non-coding RNA from Oncorhynchus tshawytscha (Chinook salmon), 257 nucleotides. The record is from Ensembl. Lineage: Eukaryota; Metazoa; Chordata; Actinopteri; Salmoniformes; Salmonidae.